This 482-nucleotide ribosomal RNA is filed under the name uncultured bacterium. RNAcentral's name for it is "bacterial SSU rRNA". It matches the Rfam family "Bacterial small subunit ribosomal RNA", at positions 30 to 507 of the family's 1533-position model. The record is from RNAcentral.
AUUGAACGCUGGCGGCAUGCUUUACACAUGCAAGUCGAACGGCAGCACGGGGCAACCUGGUGGCGAGUGGCGAACGGGUGAGUAAUACAUCGGAACGUGCCCAAUCGUGGGGGAUAACGUAGCGAAAGUUACGCUAAUACCGCAUACGAUCUACGGAUGAAAGCGGGGGAUCGCAAGACCUCGCGCGAAUGGAGCGGCCGAUGUCAGAUUAGGUAGUUGGUGGGGUAAAGGCUCACCAAGCCGACGAUCUGUAGCUGGUCUGAGAGGACGACCAGCCACACUGGGACUGAGACACGGCCCAGACUCCUACGGGAGGCAGCAGUGGGGAAUUUUGGACAAUGGGCGCAAGCCUGAUCCAGCCAUGCCGCGUGCGGGAAGAAGGCCUUCGGGUUGUAAACCGCUUUUGUCAGGGAAGAAAUCUUCUGGGUUAAUACCUCGGGAGGAUGACGGUACCUGAAGAAUAAGCACCGGCUAACUACGUG